CUAAAACUGAGCAUCAAUGGAUCUGGGAUUAGCAGUGUGCUCACCCGUUUCAAGGAGAAUGUCCAGAAUAUGUGGAAGCAAACUGAUGAAUGGGCUGCCACUGUUCAUGAUGGAACAGAUGAGCCAGGCCGAUGAGUAACCAACACAGCGCCGGUGAUGAAGGAGGCAUGCGACACAGUCAUCUCCCAGGUGGAGCAGAGGUUUUGGCAUAGUGACCACCUGAUCGCUGCGAAGCUGGUUGACAGCUCGCUCUUCCCACAAUAUGUCCUGUCAUUCCCUACAUCUGAGCUUGACUGUGCAGUGAAACUAUGGCCUCUAGGAAACGAGGAAAAGUUGAAGUCUGAGCUGACCACUCUGUACUGCCACACUGAGCUUCACACUGGUAAGACCCUGUCUCUGUUAAGAUCCAUCCAUGAGAAGAACCUAGAGGAGGCUUUUGCUGAGAUCGUCACUCUGCUGAAAAUGAUCAUAACAACACCAAUGAUGACAUCUGAGUCAGAGAGGAACUUUUCCACCUUAAAGAGGGUAAAAACCUUCACUCGUAAUACCAUGGGACAGCCGCGACUCAACGCAUUGGCCAUGUUGUCCAUCGAAAGCCAGCUGAUUCAGCAGCUACAUGACUUCAUUCCCGAAUAUGUGUACUACAACACCUGGUAGAAGCAAGUCGCUCUGUCGUUAAAAGUGUUUUGUGGAGCCACGCUGUUUGUUGAUGUGUUAAAUAAACACAUCAGUAUCAAGAGGGAGUUUUGUAGCUUAACUGAAUGAGUCUGGAGGAUUCUGUGAUGGCGAGCCCAGCUCAAUGAGACGGUGGACGGCCGAGGAAGCAGAGUGGCCAACCGUAUUACCUGUUCCCAAGAGACGUCUGACCAGCUCGAUUCAUUCACCCAGACACCAGAUAAGAUUUCUGUACACAUUAUUACCUCUAUUAGGGUAGAUGGUAAUAGUAGUAGUACAUACAUAUCACACACAGACAAGGAACCGAACGUUUGGACCAACAUAUUAGGGAAAAGACAAGAUCUUGAGCCCAUAUUUUUUCCUGAUCUGGUAAUCUAACCAGGUUAACCAUUUAAUGGUGCCAGACCAAGGCUCUGCGUCUGAGCUUGUGCUUAUUGA
Long non-coding RNA from Esox lucius (northern pike), 1113 nucleotides. The record is from Ensembl. Lineage: Eukaryota; Metazoa; Chordata; Actinopteri; Esociformes; Esocidae.